Small nucleolar RNA from Aotus nancymaae (Ma's night monkey), 139 nucleotides. Lineage: Eukaryota; Metazoa; Chordata; Mammalia; Primates; Aotidae. The record is from Ensembl.
AUCCAAGGUGAUUCCCUCUCAAGGAGACAUCCACUGCCCCUCUCAGGAAAGUAGCGACUUGGAAUAGAAUCUUGCAUGGCUAAGGUCUUUGGGGAACAGAGAUGCUUAUUUCCUCUGCCUUCCUUAGCUGCCUACGUGG